RNAcentral lists this ribosomal RNA (500 nucleotides) under uncultured bacterium. RNAcentral describes it as "bacterial SSU rRNA". It matches the Rfam family "Bacterial small subunit ribosomal RNA", at positions 355 to 870 of the family's 1533-position model. The record is from RNAcentral.
UGGGGAAUCUUGGACAAUGGGCGCAAGCCUGAUCCAGCCAUGCCGCGUGAGCGAUGAAGGCCUUAGGGUUUAGUAAAGCUCUUCACCGGUGAAGAUAAUGACGGUAGCCGGAGAAGAAGCCCCGGCUAACUCCGUGCCAGCAGCCGCGGUAAUACGGAGGGGGUUAGCGUUGUUCGGAAUUACUGGGCGUAAAGCGCACGUAGGCGGACCAGAAAGUUGGGGGUGAAAUCCCGGGGGCUCAACCCCGGAACUGCCUCCAAAACUAUUGGUCUAGAGUUCGAGAGAGGUGAGUGGAAUUCCAAGUGUAGAGGUGAAAUUCGUAGAUAUUUGGAGGAACACCAGUGGCGAAGGCGGCUCACUGGCUCGAUACUGACGCUGAGGUGCGAAAGUGUGGGGAGCAAACAGGAUUAGAUACCCUGGUAGUCCACACCGUAAAACGAUGAAUGCCAGUCGUCGGGUAGCAUGCUAUUCGGUGACACACCUAACGGAUUAAGCAUUCC